This 635-nucleotide ribosomal RNA is filed under the name Ochromonas sp. CCMP1393. Its description in RNAcentral is "partial Bacterial large subunit ribosomal RNA". It matches the Rfam family "Bacterial large subunit ribosomal RNA", at positions 702 to 1321 of the family's 2925-position model. Lineage: Eukaryota; Chrysophyceae; Chromulinales; Chromulinaceae. The record is from RNAcentral.
CGAGGGAUCAGACCCGAAACCGAGUGAUCUAGGCAUGUCCAGGAUGAAGGUAAGGUAACACUUACUGGAGGUCCGAACCCACAUCUGUUGAAAAAGAUCGGGAUGAGGUGUGCCUAGGGGUGAAAGGCCAAUCAAACUCGGAGAUAGCUGGUUCUCUGCGAAAUCUAUUUAGGUAGAGCGUCGUCUGAAUACCCUCGGGGGUAGAGCACUGAAUGGGUAAUGGGGGCCCACAGCCUUACUGAUCCUAAUCAAACUCCGAAUACCGAGGAGUACUAGACGGCAGACACACAGCGGGUGCUAACGUCCGUCGUGGAGAGGGAAACAACCCUGACCUACAGCUAAGGCCCCUAAUUCAUGGCUAAGUGGGAAAGCAGGUGGGACGACCAAAACAACCAGGAUGUUGGCUUAGAAGCAGCCAUCAUUUAAAGAAAGCGUAAUAGCUCACUGGUCUAGUAGAGAUCCUGCGCCGAAAAUGUAACGGGGCUCAAGCCACGUGCCGAAGCUGCGGGUGGACAACAUCCUAGCGGAUGUGUCUGCGGUAGCGGAGCGUUCCGUAGGCCUGUGAAGGAGGAUGGGGUGACCCCCUCUGGAGGUAUCGGAAGUGCGAAUGCUGACAUGAGUAGCGUUAAAGGGGG